Molecule: ribosomal RNA, 644 nt
Filed under: Desmognathus quadramaculatus (black-bellied salamander)
Lineage: Eukaryota; Metazoa; Chordata; Amphibia; Caudata; Plethodontidae
Description: partial small subunit ribosomal RNA
Source: RNAcentral
AUCUACGGCCCAAAGGGUAGUUAAAGACAUAAUAAAAUAGAAUUUAAAAUUUAUUUAAUAGUUAAAUAUAAACAUGAAAUGUAAAUUCAAAAACGAAAGUUAUACUAUAUAUUCUUGAAUCUACUACAGUUGAGAAACAAACUAGGAUUAGAUACCCCACUAUGCUCAACUUUAAAUGGACCUUCCGCCAGAGCACUACGAGCUAUAGCUUAAAAUUCAAAGGACUUGGCGGUGCUCUACACCCACCUAGAGGAGCCUGUUCUAUAAUUGACACCCCCCGAUAAACCUCACCAUCUCUUGCUAUUACAGCCUAUAUACCACCGUCCUCAGUUUACCUCUUAAAAGAAUAACAGUGAACAAAAUAAUUUAAAAUAAAAAAGUCAGGUCAAGGUGCAGCAAAUGAAAUGGGAAGAAAUGGGCUACAUUUUUUAUUAUAAAAAAUACGGAAUAUUUUAUGAAACAAAAUAUGAAGGAGGAUUUAGAAGUAAAAAGAAAAAAGAGUGUUCUUUUUAAAUUGGCAAUAGAGCACGCACACACCGCCCGUCAUCCUCUUCAAAAAUAAAAUAAAUUAAAUAAAUAUAUAAAUUUUAUAAGAAAAGGCAAGUCGUAACAUGGUAAGUCUACCGGAAGGUGGUCUUGGAUAU